RNAcentral lists this transfer RNA (71 nucleotides) under Camelus bactrianus (Bactrian camel). It matches the Rfam family "tRNA". From Rfam's summary of the family: Transfer RNA (tRNA) molecules are approximately 80 nucleotides in length. Their secondary structure includes four short double-helical elements and three loops (D, anti-codon, and T loops). Further hydrogen bonds mediate the characteristic L-shaped molecular structure. tRNAs have two regions of fundamental functional importance: the anti-codon, which is responsible for specific mRNA codon recognition, and the 3' end, to which the tRNAs corresponding amino acid is attached (by aminoacyl-tRNA synthetases). tRNAs cope with the degeneracy of the genetic code in two manners: having more than one tRNA (with a specific anti-codon) for a particular amino acid; and 'wobble' base-pairing, i.e. permitting non-standard base-pairing at the 3rd anti-codon position. RNAcentral also lists the same sequence under 2 other names. The record is from Rfam by way of RNAcentral. Lineage: Eukaryota; Metazoa; Chordata; Mammalia; Artiodactyla; Camelidae.
GAGGGUACAGCUCAGUGGUAGAUCGUGUGCUUAGCAUGCACAGGUCCUGGGUUCAAUUCCCAGCACCACCA